CCCUCCCUACCUACCUCCCUACCUCCCUCUCUGUUUCACACCCUCCUCUCCUCUCUCUCUCAGACAAUGUUUCUCAGCUCAUCUGCAUAAUCCAGUUUCUGUUUGGGUGUGUCUGCAUGCACGAGAGAGAAAGACAAGAGGAGAGAGGUUUAAACCAUUUUGAUGGUUUGCUUCUACAUACAUUUGUUUCAGGUGUGCAUGCGCGCGCGCGUGUGUGUGUGUGUGUGUGUGUGUGUGUUGUAGCUCUGCAAGAGAGUCACUCAUGCUUGGUGCUCCAUGUCAACUUCCUGUUCAGAAGCAUUUCCCCGCAGAUAAACAUGGGGCACUCACCAUAUCCGGCUGACAACUUCAGAUGCCUUUAUCAGAUGUGUAUCAAAUCUGAAAAUGAUCCAAUUGACAUUGUUCAAAUGAUUUUUUUACUAACAGGACUUUAAGGCAUGGAAACGGACUGAAUGAUGUGGUGACAUCUCAUUCAUCUGUGCAGCACUGCAGCAUGCUCGUUUGAAAACCAUAAAAUGUGACCCUCAUGUGACCCUGUAGGAAAAGGCAAGGGACCUCCAGGGGCGUUGGGAUUUAUUCUCUGGAUUUCUCUGGAGAGUCGAUGAGAUAUUUCAGUCUGGAGCUAUAAACUGGUGUUGCACACAAAAGCAGAGAAGAUGCCGCCGCUGGAUCUCUGAAGAUUCGUCUUGUCGUGUGAUAGUUUGUAAAGAGACAAAAAAAAAAAGACUGUCAGACGACUCGACUGCCAAAGGUUCACUGCCAACAAUCAUAUCUACCAUUGAUCUCACCCACAUGCGACAGACUGAUGCACAACACGGGCCAACCUACUGCAAAUAACGAACUCAACCCACCCUGAGCCGCUGGAGCAGGAAGUAGGACCGAUGACGUUAUUGGUCCGAUCAUAUCGACGUGGACCGACAUGGACUGGCAAAGAACUGAGGCUGUUUCUAGAGCAAAGCGACAAGCUACCCAGUCUGAGCAUGCUGUUCCUAAUAUAACUCAACAGGAAAGACUUUUAAUGCCCUUGGACCCACGAAGCGUGAAAACAUUCAUCAUAGUAUAUGCACCCAGUGAGCAACUCUCAUAGGAGUGAAGAGGUCACUGUCUGACGACACUUCAUUUUCAUGCCUCCACUAGGGUACGGUUGUAACUGCAGGCUUUACAUCUUUGAUAUAUCUUUGAUAUAUCUUUUCAUAUGGCAAGGAUUUCCGUUGAGGGGAUUUCUUCUGAUGUGGUACAAAGGUUCCUAUGGACUCAAGUGAUUAGUGAUUUGAUGAUCAAAGGGGAAAGGUCAGAGGUACCUACGUCUUCACAAUACUGUUUUUUGGCAAUAACUUGAGGAUUGAUACUUA
Long non-coding RNA from Scophthalmus maximus (turbot), 1352 nucleotides. RefSeq lists it as uncharacterized. NCBI's taxonomy places the organism in Eukaryota, Metazoa, Chordata, Actinopteri, Pleuronectiformes, Scophthalmidae. The transcript has 3 exons. The record is from RefSeq and is a predicted model, not a curated record.